RNAcentral lists this ribosomal RNA (301 nucleotides) under uncultured bacterium. RNAcentral describes it as "partial 16S ribosomal RNA". It matches the Rfam family "Bacterial small subunit ribosomal RNA", at positions 509 to 809 of the family's 1533-position model. The record is from RNAcentral.
CAGUCGCCGCGGGAAUACGAAGGGGGCUAGCGUUGUUCGGAAUUACUGGGCGUAAAGGGCGCGUAGGCGGCCAUUCAAGUUAGAUGUGAAAGCCCUGGGCUCAACCUAGGAAUUGCAUUUGAUACUGUUUGGCUUGAGUUCGGGAGAGGUGAGUGGAAUUCCCAGUGUAGAGGUGAAAUUCGUAGAUAUUGGGAAGAACACCAGUGGCGAAGGCGGCUCACUGGACCGACACUGACGCUGAGGCGCGAAAGCGUGGGGAGCAAACAGGAUUAGAUACCCGUGUAGUCCCUGUCUCUUAUAA